This 460-nucleotide ribosomal RNA is filed under the name uncultured bacterium. RNAcentral describes it as "partial 16S ribosomal RNA". It matches the Rfam family "Bacterial small subunit ribosomal RNA", at positions 338 to 795 of the family's 1533-position model. The record is from RNAcentral.
CCUACGGGAGGCAGCAGUGAGGAAUAUUGGUCAAUGGGCGAGAGUCUGAACCAGCCAAGUAGCGUGAAGGAUGACUGCCCUAUGGGUUGUAAACUUCUUUUAUAAAGGAAUAAAACGAGGCACGUGUGCCUUUUUGCAUGUACUUUAUGAAUAAGGAUCGGCUAACUCCGUGCCAGCAGCCGCGGUAAUACGGAGGAUCCGAGCGUUAUCCGGAUUUAUUGGGUUUAAAGGGAGCGUAGAUGGGUUGUUAAGUCAGUUGUGAAAGUUUGCGGCUCAACCGUAAAAUUGCAAUUGAUACUGGGAGUCUUGAGUAUGUUUGAGGUAGGCGGAAUGCGUGGUGUAGCGGUGAAAUGCUUAGAGAUCACGAAGAACCCCGAUUGCGAAGGCAGCCUGCGAAGCCAUGACUGACGCUGAUGCACGAAAGCGUGGGGAUCAAACAGGAUUAGAUACCCGGGUAGUC